RNAcentral lists this ribosomal RNA (1896 nucleotides) under Salmonella enterica subsp. enterica. Its description in RNAcentral is "partial 23S ribosomal RNA". It matches the Rfam family "Bacterial large subunit ribosomal RNA", at positions 1 to 1746 of the family's 2925-position model. Lineage: Bacteria; Pseudomonadati; Pseudomonadota; Gammaproteobacteria; Enterobacterales; Enterobacteriaceae. The record is from RNAcentral.
GGGUUGUGAGGUUAAGCGACUAAGCGUACACGGUGGAUGCCCUGGCAGUCAGAGGCGAUGAAGGACGUGCUAAUCUGCGAUAAGCGCCGGUAAGGUGAUAUGAACCGUUAUAACCGGCGAUUUCCGAAUGGGGAAACCCAGUGUGAUUCGUCACACUAUCAUUAACUGAAUCCAUAGGUUAAUGAGGCGAACCGGGGGAACUGAAACAUCUAAGUACCCCGAGGAAAAGAAAUCAACCGAGAUUCCCCCAGUAGCGGCGAGCGAACGGGGAGGAGCCCAGAGCCUGAAUCAGCAUGUGUGUUAGUGGAAGCGUCUGGAAAGGCGCGCGAUACAGGGUGACAGCCCCGUACACAAAAGCGCAUGUGCUGUGAGCUCGAUGAGUAGGGCGGGACACGUGGUAUCCUGUCUGAAUAUGGGGGGACCAUCCUCCAAGGCUAAAUACUCCUGACUGACCGAUAGUGAACCAGUACCGUGAGGGAAAGGCGAAAAGAACCCCGGCGAGGGGAGUGAAAAAGAACCUGAAACCGUGUACGUACAAGCAGUGGGAGCCCCACCACUAAGCCAGUGGUGAACUCCACAUACGCAUCCUUUGCUGAGGAUACGGUUAACGGAGCGAAAGCGACGUUCAACCUCAAAAGAAGCAGAGGGGGCUUAGUGGUGGGGUGACUGCGUACCUUUUGUAUAAUGGGUCAGCGACUUAUAUUCUGUAGCAAGGUUAACCGUAUAGGGGAGCCGGAGGGAAACCGAGUCUUAAUUGGGCGUUAAGUUGCAGGGUAUAGACCCGAAACCCGGUGAUCUAGCCAUGGGCAGGUUGAAGGUUGGGUAACACUAACUGGAGGACCGAACCGACUAAUGUUGAAAAAUUAGCGGAUGACCUGUGGCUGGGGGUGAAAGGCCAAUCAAACCGGGAGAUAGCUGGUUCUCCCCGAAAGCUAUUUAGGUAGCGCCUCGUGAAUUCAUCUUCGGGGGUAGAGCACUGUUUCGGCUAGGGGGUCAUCCCGACUUACCAACCCGAUGCAAACUGCGAAUACCGGAGAAUGUUAUCACGGGAGACACACGGCGGGUGCUAACGUCCGUCGUGAAGAGGGAAACAACCCAGACCGCCAGCUAAGGUCCCAAAGUCAUGGUUAAGUGGGAAACGAUGUGGGAAGGCCCAGACAGCCAGGAUGUUGGCUUAGAAGCAGCCAUCAUUUAAAGAAAGCGUAAUAGCUCACUGGUCGAGUCGGCCUGCGCGGAAGAUGUAACGGGGCUAAACCAUGCACCGAAGCUGCGGCAGCGAACGUAUCACUUAAAGCGAUUCAGCGGGUUACGAUUGACGGAGCGAAGCGACGUCAAAGCGUAUACAAAGUCGAGUCGGUUUAAGGAUACGUUCGUUGGGUAGGGGAGCGUUCUGUAAGCCUGUGAAGGUGUGUCGUGAGGCAUGCUGGAGGUAUCAGAAGUGCGAAUGCUGACAUAAGUAACGAUAAAGCGGGUGAAAAGCCCGCUCGCCGGAAGACCAAGGGUUCCUGUCCAACGUUAAUCGGGGCAGGGUGAGUCGACCCCUAAGGCGAGGCCGAAAGGCGUAGUCGAUGGGAAACGGGUUAAUAUUCCCGUACUUGGUGUUACUGCGAAGGGGGGACGGAGAAGGCUAUGUUGGCCGGGCGACGGUUGUCCCGGUUUAAGCGUGUAGGUGUGUGUUCCAGGUAAAUCCGGUUCACUUUAACACUGAGGCGUGAUGACGAGGCACUACGGUGCUGAAGCAACAAAUGCCCUGCUUCCAGGAAAAGCCUCUAAGCAUCAGGUAACAUCAAAUCGUACCCCAAACCGACACAGGUGGUCAGGUAGAGAAUACCAAGGCGCUUGAGAGAACUCGGGUGAAGGAACUAGGCAAAAUGGUGCCGUAACUUCGGGAGAAGG